This 1819-nucleotide long non-coding RNA is filed under the name Homo sapiens (human). RNAcentral's name for it is "HSALNT0340490". Lineage: Eukaryota; Metazoa; Chordata; Mammalia; Primates; Hominidae. The record is from RNAcentral.
CCUCCUUCUCCUGGUGUCCAUUUCUGGAACUGCUAUUUGUAUAUUGCAUGAUAUUUUAUCAGGAAAAAAUAUAAAACAGAUCUAAUUUCAUGAAAAUGCUGUUGCCAUAAUGCUCAGGAGAACAGGGGGAAGAGAGAGAUUCAAGUCUUCCUAAUGUCUACCUUAUAUGCAGAGCCUUGGAAAGAUGGGCAAAUGCUCUGUGACAAGCCACCAGGGUAGACUGGUACUGAAAAGACCCUACUACACACAGGGGCUCUGUCCCUGGCUGGAAAGUUACAAGUCAGCCUACCUCUCUGUGAUCUGGUUUCCACACCUACUACUCUUUAUCCCAUGAGGAGCUUCUGGAAACUAAAAUAGCUGCCCAGGUAGAAGAGUGUUGACCAAAGGACACAUCACCAGCACAGACUGUUAAUCAUGUGACUAGAGAAAACUCUCAUGGUGGCAUUCAAAUUUCCAUAUCCUUCUUCUAUGGAAAUUUCUGAGAGACCCAGAAAAGAAGCGUAACGACGAGGGAAAGUGAUUCCUGCAGACCUGAACAUUCCAGACUUACCAGGUGAUCCAGCUGUCUGUCAGCGGGAAGAGGCUGAGGCGCCCCCUUCUGGUGCAUCUGAAUAGUAAGAAACCCUGUGUAGAAAGAAACCCUGUAGCAAUUGGGCACCUUCUCCGUGAUCUGUCUGCUUCCAAUACCAAAAAUUGUUGCUUUUUAAAUGACAUCCAUCCUAAGCUUAAAAAAGACGCAUAUUAUUUGUAUAAAAUGUUGAAGACGCAGAACAAAAAAUGUAAAUCACAUGUAAUCAUCCCUUCCAGAAAUAAUCGUUAUUAAAAUUUCUGUGUAUGUGUAAAAAAAAAAAUUGCAAUCCUACUGUAAUAUAAUCCUGUAUACUGAUAUUUUUCACCUAUCACUGUAUGUUGAGCAUUUUCAAUAGUCAAAUUAUUUCUUGAAAAUAUUAAUGACUGGGGAGUAACCUUUCAAAUAGGUGUGUCUUUAUUUUUAAACCAGUCCACAAUUAUUGUAUAUUGAAGUCAUUUCCCAAAUUUUGUAAGUAUAAGUAUUGCAUCCAUCCUUAUAUGUAUUUAAAUGCAUCUCUUAUUAUUUCCUUGAGAUAAGUUCCUAGAAGUGGAAUCACUGGAUUUAAAAAUGUGGACAUAUUUAUGCCAGACGCGGUGGGUCAUGCCUGUAAUCCCAGCACUUUGGGAGACUGAAGCAGGUGGAUCACUUGAGGUCAGGAGUUCAAGACCAGCCUGGCCAACAUAGUGAAACCCCAUCUCUACUAAAAUUACAAAAAUUAGCCGGGUGUGGUAGUGCACGCCUGUAAUCCCAGCUACUCAGGAGGCUGAGGCAUAAGAAUCACUUGAACUCAGGAGGCGGAGGUUGCAGUGAGCCAAGAUGGCACCACUGCGCUCCAGUCUGGGCGACAGAGUAAGACUUCAUCUCAAAAAUAAAUAAAUAAAAUUAAAAUUAAAUAAGAUAAAUAAAAAAUAAAAAUGUGGACAUAUUUAAAUCUUCAUAUAUAUUACCAAAUGCCCUCCUGAAAGUUUUUACCUGUUACAUUCCAACCAAUAGUGUAAGGGCAUGACUCUUUCCCUGUGUUUUGGGAUGGAUGUUAUCAAAGUUCUCUCCCACCCAGGCCAAGUAUGGUAUAUGCUUUGAUUUAAUUUGAAUUUUUAAAUUAUUAUUUAAAAUGGACAUUUUGUUGUCCAUUUGAACAACUUUCUUUUGAGUCACUGUUCAUGUUCUUUGCCCAUUGUUUCUCUUUUAUUAGUAAGAACCCUAUUGUCAUUUUUAUAUUUUAAAUAAAAUUUCAUUGUAUAUACAUUU